GACGAACGCUGGCGGCGUGCCUAAUACAUGCAAGUCGAACGCAGUCGGGACGGGUGAGUAACACGUGGGUAACCUCCCAUCAGAGGGGAUAACACUUGGAAACAGGUGCUAAACCGAUACUGAUGGAUGGACCCGCGGUUCAUUAGCUAGUUGGUGAGUUAACGGCUCACCAAGGCCACGAGGCAUAGCGGACCGGGGAGGGUGAUCGGCCAAAUUGGGACUGAGAAACGGCCCAGACGCCUACGGGAGGCAGCAGGAGGGAAUCUUCGGCAAUGGAGGAAAGUCUGACCGAGAAACGCCGCGUGAGGGAAGAAGGUUUUGGGAUCGUAAAAGUCUGUUGUUAGAGAAACGGGAUCUAACCAGAAAGCCACGGCUAACUACGUGCCAGCCGCCGCGGUAAUAC
Molecule: ribosomal RNA, 403 nt
Filed under: uncultured bacterium
Lineage: Bacteria
Description: partial 16S ribosomal RNA
Rfam family: Bacterial small subunit ribosomal RNA
Source: RNAcentral